GUUGAAGCACCGGUUCCUGUACAAUCAUCAAAUUUAAGAAACGUCAAGCUUGGUCAGUACUUAGAUGGGUGACCACAUGGGAAUACCAGGUGCUGUAAG
Acanthosepion pharaonis is the source of this 99-nucleotide non-coding RNA. Lineage: Eukaryota; Metazoa; Mollusca; Cephalopoda; Sepiida; Sepiidae. The record is from the annotation of a GenBank genome assembly.